RNAcentral lists this transfer RNA (68 nucleotides) under bovine gut metagenome. It matches the Rfam family "tRNA". From Rfam's summary of the family: Transfer RNA (tRNA) molecules are approximately 80 nucleotides in length. Their secondary structure includes four short double-helical elements and three loops (D, anti-codon, and T loops). The record is from RNAcentral.
CGGGUGUAGCAUAGUGGCUAAUGCCCCAGCCUUCCAAGCUGGUGAGGAGGGUUCGAUUCCCUUCACCC